RNAcentral lists this ribosomal RNA (254 nucleotides) under uncultured bacterium. Its description in RNAcentral is "partial 16S ribosomal RNA". It matches the Rfam family "Bacterial small subunit ribosomal RNA", at positions 524 to 776 of the family's 1533-position model. The record is from RNAcentral.
UACGGGGGGAGCAAGCGUUGUUCGGAUUUACUGGGCGUAAAGGGCGCGUAGGCGGUCAGCACAAGUCAGUUGUGAAAUCUCCGGGCUUAACUCGGAAAGGUCAACUGAUACUGUGCGACUAGAGUGCAGAAGGGGCAACUGGAAUUCUCGGUGUAGCGGUGAAAUGCGUAGAUAUCGAGAGGAACACCUGCGGCGAAGGCGGGUUGCUGGGCUGACACUGACGCUGAAGUGCGAAAGCUAGGGGAGCGAACGGG